Molecule: small RNA, 1123 nt
Filed under: uncultured Actinomycetales bacterium
Lineage: Bacteria; Bacillati; Actinomycetota; Actinomycetes; Actinomycetales
Description: bacterial SSU rRNA
Rfam family: Bacterial small subunit ribosomal RNA (bases 1-491)
Source: RNAcentral
AUGGCUGUCGUCAGCUCGUGUCGUGAGAUGUUGGGUUAAGUCCCGCAACGAGCGCAACCCUCGUUCUAUGUUGCCAGCACGUGAUGGUGGGGACUCAUAGGAGACUGCCGGGGUCAACUCGGAGGAAGGUGGGGACGACGUCAAAUCAUCAUGCCCCUUAUGUCUUGGGCUUCACGCAUGCUACAAUGGCCAGUACAAAGGGCUGCGAGACCGUAAGGUGGAGCGAAUCCCAAAAAGUCGGUCUCAGUUCGGAUUGGGGUCUGCAACUCGACCCCGUGAAGUCGGAGUCGCUAGUAAUCGCAGAUCAGCAACGCUGCGGUGAAUACGUUCCCGGGCCUUGUACACACCGCCCGUCACGUCAUGAAAGUCGGUAACACCCGAAGCCGGUGGCCCAACCCUUGUGGAGGGAGCCGUCGAAGGUGGGACUGGCGAUUAGGACGAAGUCGUAACAAGGUAGCCGUACCGGAAGGUGCGGCUGGAUCACCUCCUUUCUAAGGAGCGCCUGGCACACCCUGCUGGUUGGUGGGGGUUAUGUGUUCAGAUAUGCUAUUUCCUGCACGUCAUGCUGUGGGCGUUAUGCUUGCGGUGGUUGUUGUGGGGUGGCUGCUCAGGGUGGAACAUCGAUUAUUCAGUCGCCUUCUGGUGGCGUUCUCGGCUAGUACGGCCUGGUCUCCUCUUCUUUUGUGGGGGGGUGCGGGUUGGAACGGGGGGAUGCUGGUGGGUGGGGGUUGUGGGCAUACUGUUGGGUCCUGAGGGAGUGGGCAUGCGGGACUGGUGUUGGUUGCUGGUUCUGGUUGUUUAUUCUCCGGGCAUUGGUUGCAUGGUUGUCUGGUGCCUUUGGGUGCUGGGUGGGUGUGUGGCUGGUGUGGGUUCUGCCUCUGCGGUCAAACUGUCUGGUGCCUUUGUGGGUUUCUGGGUGGGUGUCGUGGGUGGGGUGGGGCUGCCCGUAGCUUGAGAACUGUACAGUGGACGCGAGCAUCUUUGUAAUCUGUGGCAAGUUUUUAAGGGCGCACGGUGGAUGCCUUGGCACCAGGAGCCGAUGAAGGACGUAGGAGCCCGCGAUAAGCCUCGAGGAGUUGGCAACCGAGCUGUGAUUCGAGGAUUUCCGAAUGGGGAAACCCGG